RNAcentral lists this ribosomal RNA (397 nucleotides) under uncultured bacterium. RNAcentral's name for it is "partial 16S ribosomal RNA". It matches the Rfam family "Bacterial small subunit ribosomal RNA", at positions 523 to 918 of the family's 1533-position model. The record is from RNAcentral.
AUACGUAGGUGACAAGCGUUAUCCGGAUUUACUGGGCGUAAAGGGCGUGUAGGCGGUCUUGCAAGUCAGAAGUGAAAUUCCUGAGCUCAACUCGGGCGCUGCUUCUGAAACUGCAGGACUUGAGUGCUGGAGGGGAUAGCGGAAUUCCUAGUGGAGCGGUAAAAUGCGCAGAUAUUAGGAAGAACACCGGUGGCGAAGGCGGCUAUCUGGACAGUAACUGACGCUGAGGCGCGAAAGCGUGGGGAGCAAACAGGAUUAGAUACCCUGAUAGUCCACGCCGUAUACGAUGAAUACUAGGUGUAGGGGGUAUCGACUCCCUCUGUGCCGCAGUUAACACAAUAAGUAUUCCGCCUGGGGAGUACGGCCGCAAGGUUGAAACUCAAAUGAAUUGACGGGG